GCUCGUGUCGUGAGAUGUGGUUAGUCCGCAACGAGCGCAACCCCUACUUGUUAGUUGCCAUCAUUCAGUUGGGCACUCUAGCGAGACUGCCGGUAAUAAACCGGAGGAAGUGGGAUGACGUCAAAUCAUCAUGCCCCUUAUGACCUGGGCUACACACGUGCUACAAUGGUUGGUACAACGAGUUGCGAGUCGGUGACGGCGAGCUAAUCUCUUAAAGCCAAUCUCAGUUCGGAUUGUAGGCUGCAACUCGCCUACAUGAAGUCGGAAUCGCUAGUAAUCGCGGAUCAGCACGCCGCGGUGAAUACGUUCCCGGGCCUU
RNAcentral lists this ribosomal RNA (318 nucleotides) under uncultured Streptococcus sp. RNAcentral's name for it is "bacterial SSU rRNA". It matches the Rfam family "Bacterial small subunit ribosomal RNA", at positions 1058 to 1382 of the family's 1533-position model. Lineage: Bacteria; Bacillati; Bacillota; Bacilli; Lactobacillales; Streptococcaceae. The record is from RNAcentral.